CCUACGGGGGGCAGCAGUGAGGAAUAUUGGGCAAUGGAGGCAACUCUGACCCAGCCAUGCCGCGUGAGUGAAGAAGGUUUUCGGAUUGUAAAGCUCUUUUGGAUGUGACGAUGAUGACGGUAGCAUCUAAAGAAGCCCCGGCUAACUUCGUGCCAGCAGCCGCGGCAAUACGAAGGGGGCAAGCGUUGUUCGGAAUUACUGGGCGUAAAGGGAGUGUAGGGGGUUUAGUAAGAUAGUGGUGAAAUCCCAGAGCUUAACUUUGUAAGUGCCAUUAUAACUAUUAGACUAGAAUUACAGAGAGGAUAGUGGAAUGCCCAGUGUAGAGGUGAAAUUCGUAGAUAUUGGGUAGAACACCAGUGGCGAAGGCAACUAUCUGGCUGUACAUUGACGCUGAGGCUCGAAAGCAUGGGGAUCGAACAGGAUUAGAUACCCCUGUAGUC
Molecule: ribosomal RNA, 440 nt
Filed under: uncultured bacterium
Lineage: Bacteria
Description: partial 16S ribosomal RNA
Rfam family: Bacterial small subunit ribosomal RNA
Source: RNAcentral